Pipra filicauda (Wire-tailed manakin) is the source of this 2972-nucleotide RNA transcript. It is a transcript of the gene named sphingolipid transporter 2, with no coding region annotated. The record is from RefSeq and is a predicted model, not a curated record. The transcript is spliced from 14 exons. NCBI's taxonomy places the organism in Eukaryota, Metazoa, Chordata, Aves, Passeriformes, Pipridae.
CAGAGGCGGCCGGUCCCGGGCAGGCUCGGGGCGGCCGCGGGGAUGCGGCGCUGAGCGCUCCGGCUGCCCGUCGGUCUGUCCGUCCUUCCGUCCGCCACUCAGUCAGUCACCCCGCACGCCGAGAUCCCCCUUCCCGCAGCCCAUGAUGUGCCUGGAAAGCGACGGCUCGUCCGGCAGCAGCCCGGGCUGCGGCGGGCGGCUGCGAGCCGGCGACGAGGAGGAGGAGGAGGACGGCGAGCGGGGCUGCUGCGGCCGGGGCGCCGAGGGCGAGGUGCAGACCCUGUCGGGCAGGAUGAACCCGCCGGCGGGCGGCAAGCACCCCGACCGCCCCGCCGCCCUCCGCAAGGCGCCGAGCCUCGGCCGGGCCCGGGUGGCGGCCGCCGGCAUCCUCAGCGUGGGCAACGUGCUCAACUACCUGGACCGGUACACGGUGGCAGGUGUGUUAUUGGACAUCCAGCAGCACUUUGGAGUCAAAGACAGCGGGGCUGGUUUGUUACAGACAGUUUUCAUCUGCAGUUUCAUGGUGGCGGCGCCGAUCUUUGGUUACCUCGGUGACCGUUUCAACAGGAAGAUCAUCCUCAGCUGUGGGAUCUUCUUUUGGUCAGCUGUCACUUUUUCGAGCUCCUUCAUCACUGAACAGUAUUUCUGGCUCCUGGUGCUCUCCCGGGGUCUGGUUGGCAUCGGAGAGGCGAGUUACUCCACCAUUGCCCCAACCAUCAUCGGAGACCUGUUCACCAAAAACACGAGGACCCUCAUGCUCUCUGUCUUCUACUUUGCAAUUCCUCUGGGCAGUGGCUUGGGAUACAUCACUGGGUCCAGCGUGAAGCAGGUUGCUGGAGACUGGCACUGGGCCUUGAGGGUAUCUCCACUCCUGGGAAUGAUAACAGGGACACUCAUCUUGAUAUUUGUUCCUGCUGCUAAAAGAGGAAAUGCUGAACAACUUGGGGGGCAGCUGAAGGCUCGGACCUCGUGGCUGAGAGACAUGAAAGCACUGAUUAGAAACCGCAGCUACGUGUUCUCCUCCCUGGCCACCUCGGCCGUCUCCUUUGCCACGGGGGCACUUGGCAUGUGGAUCCCUCUGUACCUGCACAGGGCACAGGUGGUGCAGAAGACAGCAGAGACCUGCAGCUCGCAGCCCUGCGGCACCAAGGAUAGCUUGAUCUUCGGGGCCAUCACGUGCUUCACUGGCUUCCUGGGUGUCAUCACGGGGGCGGGAGCGACCAAGUGGUGCCGGCUGAAGACGCAGCGGGCGGACCCGCUGGUGUGUGCCGUGGGCAUGCUGGGCUCUGCCAUCUUCAUCUGCCUCAUCUUCGUGGCUGCCAAGAGCAGCAUCGUGGGAGCCUAUAUUUGCAUUUUUAUCGGAGAAACUCUUCUGUUUUCAAACUGGGCUAUCACAGCAGACAUUCUGAUGUACGUGGUGAUCCCCACACGCCGGGCGACCGCAGUGGCCUUGCAGAGCUUCACUUCACACCUCCUGGGAGAUGCUGGCAGUCCUUAUCUCAUUGGAUUUAUCUCAGACCUGAUACGACAAAGCACAAAGGAGUCCCCGGUGUGGGAGUUCCUCAGCCUGGGUUACGCCCUCAUGCUCUGCCCCUUCGUCGUUGUCCUGGGAGGGAUGUUCUUCCUGGCCACAGCCCUGUUCUUCCUCAGUGACCGAGCCAAAGCUGAACAACAUAAAGAAACCGAUUCGGAUCAACUCACGGUUGGCAACUACAGUAAUUCAGAAGACGCUUCCACAUGACAUACAAACUUCUGGGGGUGAACCAACUUGUGAUGCCACCAGCCUCUGUGAAAGUCUGAGACGGUGCCUCCGAAGGAAAGGACACGUGGACUCUGCUCCCACCACACCAAUCUCAAGCUCGAAGCCCUUCCGUGCUGGAUACCAGUGGAUCCUCCAGCUCCACACCACCCCGAGGGGUUCUCCAGCACCAAAUCCAUCCCCCCACUCCAGCCUGCGGGGUCAGGCACCAGGAGAUGGAGCAGGGCAGGCAGGGACACGGGACCUGCUGCAGCACGAGGACAGCUGUUCCUCUGAGCAUCAGCAACUGGCCCCCGGACCCAAAACGUGCUGCCCACGUGAGUGACUGUAGAUUGUGUACAUGGUUCUAGUUGUAGCCAAUGAAGUCCACAUGGUUUGUAGGACUGGUGUCCUCUGGAAUGCUGCUGCUCUGCCAGCACUCCCACACCCACCGACUGCACUAGCUGGGGACCCGCUCUGUACAUCACCUUUGCUUUGACACUGAAGGCUCAACUCAGAUUAUUAUUUUUUAUUUAAAUAUGUCAUAAGAUGCUUUAUCUCUGCUGAAGACAUUAGAUGAGAUAUAUAUAUAUAUAUUUAGAUAGACAGUUUUUAUUUAAACGUUUAAAACCUGGAGCUGCCUGUGCAACCACAGCAGACAUGAGUAACGUCCACAGCUCUCCCUGGCUCAGUGCCCUGCAAGAGUUCCAGUGGGUGACCUCCCUGUCACCUGAGGCUGAGCAAUGGGCAGAGGAGAGAGAGUCUCACUGCACUGGGAAUGCUGGUGGUUGUCACAGAAAGGCCCAGUACGUUGGACAGAAAUCCCUACGGGCUCUGGAGUUUUCAAAUUCAGCCUCGCCUGGGAGGUUCACAGGCUUUUAAAAUACCAAAAUCCACCUGGCUGAAUCGCUGAACCUCGGGCCUGGGAGUGCAAUACUGCUGUGCCAGUGACCUCGUGCUUUGUUUACAUGCUGCCAUAUCACACGGACUGCCGAUGCUAAUUCUCCCUGUCAGUGUUCCAAAGCAGUGGCUGAUACUCUGUUUCCUGGGAGCAGUGUUUGGGCUCCUGCACACCCAACCCUGCCCAGUCCAAGUGCUCUCCCUGGGGUGUCACCUGUACCUUCACAAAGGUGCGUUUGAGACCUCUCAGACAAAGCCAGUGUCUGAACUGGGCGAGUCUCAAGUGCAGGGACGUGUCAUGGGGCCACUUCACUGGGGUUUUGUUUCCUUGUUC